GACGAACGCUGGCGGUGUGCUUAACACAUGCAAGUCGAACGGUAAGGCCCUUUCGGGGGUACACGAGUGGCGAACGGGUGAGUAACACGUGAGUAACCUGCCCUCAUCUCUGGGGUAACAGUCGGAAACGGUUGCUAAUACUGGAUAUGAGCUUGCAAGGCAUCUUGUGGGUUGGAAAGAUUUUUUUGGUUGGGGAUGGACUCGCGGCCUAUCAGCUUGUUGGUGAGGUAGUGGCUCACCAAGGCUUCGACGGGUAGCCGGCCUGAGAGGGCGACCGGCCACAUUGGGACUGAGAUACGGCCCAAACUCCUACGGGAGGCAGCAGUGGGGAAUAUUGCACAAUGGACGGAAGUCUGAUGCAGCAACGCCGCGUGCGGGAUGACGGCCUUCGGGUUGUAAACCGCUUUCAAUUGUGACGAAGCUUUUUGUGACGGUAGCAGUAGAAGAAGCACCGGCUAACUACGUG
Molecule: ribosomal RNA, 466 nt
Filed under: uncultured bacterium
Lineage: Bacteria
Description: partial 16S ribosomal RNA
Rfam family: Bacterial small subunit ribosomal RNA
Source: RNAcentral